RNAcentral lists this ribosomal RNA (590 nucleotides) under Brevundimonas sp. B845_4. RNAcentral's name for it is "bacterial SSU rRNA". It matches the Rfam family "Bacterial small subunit ribosomal RNA", at positions 131 to 755 of the family's 1533-position model. Lineage: Bacteria; Pseudomonadati; Pseudomonadota; Alphaproteobacteria; Caulobacterales; Caulobacteraceae. The record is from RNAcentral.
UUUAGGUUCGGAAUAACUCAGGGAAACUUGUGCUAAUACCGAAUGUGCCCUUCGGGGGAAAGAUUUAUCGCCUUUAGAGCGGCCCGCGUCUGAUUAGCUUGUUGGUGGGGUAAUGGCCCACCAAGGCUACGAUCAGUAGCUGGUCUGAGAGGAUGACCAGCCACAUUGGGACUGAGACACGGCCCAAACUCCUACGGGAGGCAGCAGUGGGGAAUCUUGCGCAAUGGGCGAAAGCCUGACGCAGCCAUGCCGCGUGUAUGAUGAAGGUCUUAGGAUUGUAAAAUACUUUCACCGGUGAAGAUAAUGACUGUAGCCGGAGAAGAAGCCCCGGCUAACUUCGUGCCAGCAGCCGCGGUAAUACGAAGGGGGCUAGCGUUGCUCGGAAUUACUGGGCGUAAAGGGAGCGUAGGCGGACAUUUAAGUCAGAGGUGAAAUCCCGGAGCUUAACUUCGGAACUGCCUUUGAUACUGGGUGUCUUGAGUGUGAGAGAGGUAUGUGGAACUCCGAGUGUAGAGGUGAAAUUCGUAGAUAUUCGGAAGAACACCAGUGGCGAAGGCGACAUACUGGCUCAUUACUGACGCUGAGGCUCG